Molecule: ribosomal RNA, 393 nt
Filed under: uncultured bacterium
Lineage: Bacteria
Description: partial 16S ribosomal RNA
Rfam family: Bacterial small subunit ribosomal RNA
Source: RNAcentral
AUACGGAGGAUGCGAGCGUUAUCCGGAUUUAUUGGGUUUAAAGGGAGCGUAGGUGGGAUAUUAAGUCAGCUGUGAAAGUUUGGGGCUCAACCUUAAAAUUGCAGUUGAUACUGGUUUCCUUGAGUACGGUACAGGUGGGCGGAAUUCGUGGUGUAGCGGUGAAAUGCUUAGAUAUCACGAAGAACUCCGAUCGCGAAGGCAGCUCGGCGGGCCGGAGCUGACACUGAUGCUCGAAAGUGCGGGUAUCAAACAGGAUUAGAUACCCUGGUAGUCCGCACAGUAAACGAUGAAUACUCGCUGUUUGCGAUACACGGUAAGCGGCCAAGCGAAAGCGUUAAGUAUUCCACCUGGGGAGUACGCCGGCAACGGUGAAACUCAAAGUAAUUGACGGGG